AGGAUGCGAGCGUUAUCCGGAUUUAUUGGGUUUAAAGGGUGCGUAGGCGGUCCGUUAAGUCAGCGGUAAAAUUAGCGGGGCGUCAACCCCGUCCGAGCCGUUGAAACUGUCAGACUUGAGUUGGCGAGAAGUACGCGGAAUGCGCGGUGUAGCGGUGAAAUAGCAUAGAUAUCGCGCAGAACUCCGAUUGCGAAGGCAGCGUACCGGCGCCACACUGACGCUGAGGCACGAAAGCGUGGGGAUCGAACAGG
Molecule: ribosomal RNA, 251 nt
Filed under: uncultured bacterium
Lineage: Bacteria
Description: partial 16S ribosomal RNA
Rfam family: Bacterial small subunit ribosomal RNA
Source: RNAcentral